ACCAUCUAUUUAUCCCUAAUAGGUUCCAUUCGAACCAAUUCUAAACCUUAAAAACUCAAAACCCUAGAAUCACCAUUAAAGGGUUGGAAGCUUACCUCUAACCUAAGCUCCAAGCUUGAGGGAGAGGGAGAGAAGAUGACUCUCCUCUUCUUCUUAGUCUUCUCCUUCUCUUUCUUCUUCUUUCUUCCCUUCUUCUCCUUCCUCUUCUUCUUCUCCUUUUUCUCUUUCUUUUCUUUUCUUUCCUAGAGAGAGAGAGAAAAGGGGUGAGAGAGAGGG
Molecule: long non-coding RNA, 276 nt
Filed under: Ananas comosus (pineapple)
Lineage: Eukaryota; Viridiplantae; Streptophyta; Magnoliopsida; Poales; Bromeliaceae
Description: long non-coding RNA (ACOM_LNC029386)
Source: RNAcentral